GAUGAACGCUGACAGAAUGCUUAACACAUGCAAGUCUACUUGAUCCUUCGGGUGAUGGUGGCGGACGGGUGAGUAACGCGUAAAGAACUUGCCUUGCAGUCUGGGACAACGUCUGGAAACGGACGCUAAUACCGGAUAUUAUGAUUGAAUCGCAUGAUUUGAUUAUGAAAGCUAUAUGCGCUGCGAGAGAGCUUUGCGUCCCAUUAGUUAGUUGGUGAGGUAACGGCUCACCAAGACGAUGAUGGGUAGCCGGCCUGAGAGGGUGAACGGCCACAAGGGGACUGAGACACGGCCCUUACUCCUACGGGAGGCAGCAGUGGGGAAUAUUGGACAAUGGACCAAAAGUCUGAUCCAGCAAUUCUGUGUGCACGAUGAAGUUUUUCGGAAUGUAAAGUGCUUUCAGUUGGGACGAAGUAAGUGACGGUACCAACAGAAGAAGCGACGGCUAAAUACGUGCCAGCAGCCGCGGUAAUACGUAUGUCGCAAGCGUUAUCCGGAUUUAUUGGGCGUAAAGCGCGUCUAGGCGGUUUGGUAAGUCUGAUGUGAAAAUGCGGGGCUCAACUCCGUAUUGCGUUGGAAACUGCCAAACUAGAGUACUGGAGAGGUGGGCGGAACUACAAGUGUAGAGGUGAAAUUCAUAGAUAUUUGUAGGAAUGCCGAUGGGGAAGCCAGCCCACUGGACAGAUACUGACGCUAAAGCGCGAAAACGUGGGUAGCAAACAGG
Molecule: ribosomal RNA, 724 nt
Filed under: uncultured bacterium
Lineage: Bacteria
Description: bacterial SSU rRNA
Rfam family: Bacterial small subunit ribosomal RNA
Source: RNAcentral